Molecule: ribosomal RNA, 404 nt
Filed under: Fusobacteriota bacterium
Lineage: Bacteria; Fusobacteriati; Fusobacteriota
Description: Fusobacteria bacterium partial 16S ribosomal RNA
Rfam family: Bacterial small subunit ribosomal RNA
Source: RNAcentral
UGGGGAAUAUUGAACAAUGGAGGGAACUCUGAUGCAGCGACGCCGCGUGAGUGAUGAAGGAAUUCGUUUCGUAAAACUCUGUUCUAUGGGAAGAAAAGGACUGUACCAUAGGAGAAAGCUCCGGCUAAAUACGUGCCAGCAGCCGCGGUAAUACGUAUGGAGCGAGCGUUGUCCGGAAUUAUUGGGCGUAAAGGGUGCGCAGGCGGCUUUACAAGUUGGAUGUGAAAUAUUGUGGCUCAACCACAAACGUGCAUCCAAAACUGCAAAGCUUGAGUUAAGGGGAGGUAAGUGGAAUUCCUGGUGUAGCGGUGGAAUGCGUAGAUAUCAGGAGGAAUACCGGUGGCGAAGGCGACUUACUGGACUUAAACUGACGCUCAGGCACGAAAGCGUGGGGAGCAAACAGG